GUGGAGAUUUCAUUGUCGCUGCAUUACUAAGCAGUGUUAUGCAGCCCAUAUUCUCCACACAGAGUGUCGCUGGUUCCUGCCGACAGGGCCUGCCAAGAUAUUGGGCUCCCUGUGCGAUGGUUCCAUACAAA
Non-coding RNA from Trichomycterus rosablanca, 131 nucleotides. The record is from RefSeq and is a predicted model, not a curated record. NCBI's taxonomy places the organism in Eukaryota, Metazoa, Chordata, Actinopteri, Siluriformes, Trichomycteridae.